Molecule: ribosomal RNA, 434 nt
Filed under: uncultured bacterium
Lineage: Bacteria
Description: partial 16S ribosomal RNA
Rfam family: Bacterial small subunit ribosomal RNA
Source: RNAcentral
AGCGAACGCUGGCGGCAGGCCUAACACAUGCAAGUCGAACGAACCUUUCGGGGUUAGUGGCGGACGGGUGAGUAACACGUGGGAACGUGCCUUUAGGUUCGGAAUAACUCAGGGAAACUUGUGCUAAUACCGAAUGUGCCCUUCGGGGGAAAGAUUUAUCGCCUUUAGAGCGGCCCGCGUCUGAUUAGCUAGUUGGUUGAGGUAAUGGCUCACCAAGGCGACGAUCAGUAGCUGGUCUGAGAGGAUGAUCAGCCACAUUGGGACUGAGACACGGCCCAAACUCCGACGGGAGGCAGCAGUGGGGAAUCUUGCGCAAUGGACGAAAGCCUGACGCAGCCAUGCCGCGUGAAUGAUGAAGGUCUUAGGAUUGUAAAAUUCUUUCACCGGGGACGAUAAUGACGGUACCCGGAGAAGAAGCCCCGGCUAACUUCGUG